AGUUCCGCAAUUUUCUUUUAACUUAUGGCUCUCCCCGUAUAGUUAAAAUACUUUCUUGAAAACGUUGGUUGCUCUUAGAUGUCGUAAAAAAGGGUCGGGUCUAAUGGAUGAACUGUUAUGAACUAUAAAUAUACGAACUUUUAAUUAUAACUCGGUUUAUUACUAUUGGGAACGUGUCGACAUCACAUCGGUCUAAUUAUGGUUAACUACGUCGCGGAACGAAAAUAAUGAAAAAUUGGUAAUAAACCAAUAUCGAAGAAGAGACCCCCCUAAAAAUGUGUUUAUUUAAUCCCAGUUAGACGGGACUAAGUCAGUAGUGCACAGUUCGUUGAGCGAAGAAGGUGUUCUUCCUUUGGUAGCAAGGGCUACCCUGCGUCCCAUGACGGGAUCCAGACAUCAUCGUUCCUGAGCUAGGAGGUGAUGUCCUUGCCAAUUACUACAGCAAUCCUGCUGCAUUGUACGUCCCUGAGAGGAGAGUUUUUAAGGUACCAAAACAAGUUUUAAAGUACAUUUUACGUUGCUGCGGUAUCAUCAGAUACCCCUUUUUCUCCAAAUAACUUUUAACGUCGCGAAGUGCGCGAAUUUGCAAAGACAUUGGGUCUUUAAUCGUAUAGACAUUCAUUUUAAACGUAUCUCUAUAUUUUUCUGUGUUGUAUCAUAUUAUAAUAAUAAUUAUUGCAUGUGUUUUAUUUAGCAUUACACUUUAUUGACAUAUAUUAUAUCCAUAUAUUGAUUUUAUUGAUUUUAAUAGGGUGCCUUUCUCGUAAUAAACGCUUGUUAAUAUUUUCCUUUCAUUAUUAUACUCUGGUAUCAUUGACCUACCGAAAUUCGAUAUUGUUUUGCCCUAAUAAUUUACGACCAUAAAAUUCUUUCUUUAAAAAAGGGGCUGUUUAUCGGUAUCAGAUUCGCUCCGGAGAUUUAACGUCUUAGCUGUUUAGAAUACUAUUAAUUAUUGUUGUAUUUCCUUUACGAUAUUUCUAACAGCUGAUUUGGUAAGGUCAAUGGCAAUAUUGUAUCUAUUAAUUGGGUCAGUGGUUUUUCUGAACUUUUUAUAAUUGUAUCUGUUUGUCUGUAUUGUCAAAAUAUUUGUGUAAGUUUGCAAAUAAUUCGUCGUCUUAACAUUAAAUGAUGUAUUGUAGCUA
Molecule: long non-coding RNA, 1142 nt
Organism: Diabrotica virgifera virgifera (western corn rootworm)
Lineage: Eukaryota; Metazoa; Arthropoda; Insecta; Coleoptera; Chrysomelidae
Exons: 2
Source: RefSeq, a predicted model, not a curated record